AUAACAAUACAGGACACUUUAGAGGCUCUGUAAUUGUAAUGAGUCCACUUGAAAUCCUUUAACUCUGAUCAAUUAGAGGGCAAGUCUGGUGCAGAGCGACUGACCCGUGCGUGCUGCAGCUGAAA
RNAcentral lists this ribosomal RNA (125 nucleotides) under Pelobates cultripes (western spadefoot toad). RNAcentral describes it as "SSU_rRNA_eukarya". The record is from RNAcentral. Lineage: Eukaryota; Metazoa; Chordata; Amphibia; Anura; Pelobatidae.